This is a long non-coding RNA of Ailuropoda melanoleuca (giant panda), 3015 nucleotides long. RefSeq lists it as uncharacterized. NCBI's taxonomy places the organism in Eukaryota, Metazoa, Chordata, Mammalia, Carnivora, Ursidae. The record is from RefSeq and is a predicted model, not a curated record. The transcript is spliced from 3 exons.
AGAGGAUAAGAUGAAGUAAAAAAAAAUUCACGAGCGGGACGAACCGCAAGUCCGCUCUCCAAGAGCUGGCACAACCCGCUCCACCCGCUCACUCUCAAGCAUCAAACCAGAGCCCCCGGCUUAUUCCGACUUCAACCACCAGCUCUGAUCCCAGUCCUGUGAGAGGCCGCUAAGAGAUGCACAUUGUGUUAAGGACUUUGGAAAACACGAAAGUGAAGAAAUAAUCUCUGCUCUCGAGAAGUGCGCAUCCUAGGAGAUAAUCAACUGAGAAAUAAAUAUGGAAAGUCAGCUUUAAAAAUGUACGGAUAAUUACAGGAGUUGACACAGAUCUCAGCUCUUGAGAAGUCAUUUCUGCAUGGCAACCAAAAACAAUAUUGGCAGUUCCAGGUAAACCCGGUGGUUCUUAGAGUUAAAUUCUGUAAAAUCAGCCUCCCCUCCACCCGCUGCCUUCCCUUAUUCUCUGGGGUCGUAGGUAUGAUCUGUGGAGGCCUGUGGGCAUCACCCAGCAGUGAGGGUAAGUGAAGUAAAGCACCACCAUGGGUCUCCUCUGGGCUGGGCUACCCACUGCUUAAUACUCACCCUACCGCAUCAUGCAUUACUGGUUUCCAUGCAUUGCUCUGUUCCCUCAUGAACCUGACCCCAGUGCUUUGGGGCCAUCAUCCCACCUUCAGCACAUCAGCAGUAUCUCUGCAGGGUGUAAAACUCCCAGCCGCAUUUCCUACACUGCAUGGGGUGUGUGGCAGGCACCCUGUAAGGUACACUUAGACCCACAUUCCCCGACAGCUUACUCAGCGGCCACUACUCUGCCUCAAACUCCAUGCUAGGAGCAGAUCUCUCUAUAUGGCUUCAAAUAUAGACACUGGUAUCUUUGCUCUGGGAUUCUUCCAAAUUUACCUGGACUUUUCCUCUUCCUCCCUUUUUAGGGUCUCCACCAGCUCUCUCGGAUCUAAAUUCCAGUGGUCUUCCCACCAUCUCUCAGCUUGCUCUAUCAACUCUAGGGAAGUUGUUUUUCAUGUAAUCCCUUUCCCAUUUACUGUUUGUGCUAGAACCUUGAGCUUCUAUAGUUAAUUCCUUUCUCUCAAAGCCAUGGAUAUGAGCGUCAAGAGCCUAUUUUGCCAGUCAAAAGUCAAACUCUAAUAUUUCUUUCUCUUUGCAUCCCUACAAUCCUAAUCCUAGCCUCUAACUAGAUGGGGAGAAGAAGAUUGUAUAUAAAAACUGUGGAAGGGGGAAGCACUCCGAUUAACAUUUUAAAACAUGAUCUUACUACAUAUUAACCACCCAUGGUCCCUGUCAUUGAAAAGCUCAUAGUCAAUGGGAAAUUUUCACCAAACAGCAAGUUAAGCCAAUUGACCGGAUCAAAUAUAACCUUCAAAGAUUGACUGUGAUUAGGAAACAUUGGUUUGUAAAGUAACCAUGGAUUUAGCUCUGUCCCUAUCCUAACAUUUGUGGGGCCAUAACAAGAGCACAGAUAGAGGUCCCCGUGUCCUUAUCAGAUAUUCUUGCCUUCUGAUUCUGGUUCUUUCCAACAGUGUAAGGGAGCCUCACCCUCAUUCUAAUGAACACAUCAACCCACUCAUCCAAGACGUCUGUAAGGCCUGGUUUCAAAUCUGCUGUACCAAAAGGUUUUCAUUUUCUCUGGGGCAUUAUCAUUGGAGACCACAUUUAGGUUAAUAGUAUGGCAUGGGAGUUCUGUGGACCAUAAGAUAGUGUAAAUACAAAUCUCAAACCUAAUUGUGAAGGUAGAAAACAAAAACAUUCCACCCAGAAUCCAAAUUGAAACAGACAAGCUUUCUUGUCAGCUCCAUUUAUCAAAAGGUGGAUUUGUUUUUCUAUUCUAGCCUUUUCCUAGGUAUUUACUCUUCUGUGCAUUCAGUCUUUAUGGAAGGGUAGUACUUACUUUCUAUAUUCAUUGUAUUUCCAAGGUUUGUCAGCUUCUUGACCGUCCAGAAGGCCCUUGAUUCCUGCUCAUCCCCAAGUGUGAUCUGCUGGACUCUCAUGAACUCUGUGAGCUCCCAGGAAAUUACUCUUUGAUUAAAUUUAUCAGUCACAUUUCAGUUACUAGCAGCCAGGAGCUCCAUCAUAUCCACCACCAGAAAGGCCUGUUUCCUUCCACUUCGCCCCUCCCCCCAUUCUGCAUCUUGGAAACUUCUAAGUGAGGAAUUCGCCAACUGUUGUUCUUCCCUAUCUUGGGCAGGUCUGAGUGACAUACCUAUGACUGAUGUCUGCCUGGUCUCCUGCCUGGGUGGUAUUCCCAGGCUGUCAGCCAUGGCUCCUUCUUCAAUAGACCAGUCCCUUUGCCAUUGCAGAUGGCCCACGGUCUCUCACUGGAAGUGAUGCCAAUGGUCUGAGGGUGGAACUGGUAGGACAGGCGUCCUAAGACUCUGCACCUACACUGAGCUGAUGAGAAAUGCUAACACCGAUGAUCACUAGAGCUGGAGCGCAGGGCUGCCCCACAGCACCCAACUUAGCCUUGAUAUGGACCUAACAACCUAUGUCAUUACUAAAAGCGCCACAUUCUGAACAAGGCAUUGGACUUUGCCUUUAGAUGAGCUCCGUAAAUUUCACAAAUACCACAAAUGCUCUUCCUCAUCUUCUCCUCAUAGAACACCACCUCCAAGCCUUUGAAGUAGGUGUCAGUGUAUAAUUUGAAAGGCUCAUUAAGGUCAGCAAAACUUAAUGUAGAAUCCUUGUCUGGCCAUUCCAUUGGGGUUCGGACUGCUUCUCACAGGCCUCCAUCAUCUGUCUUCUGAGCAGCACAGAAGUGGAUGGUCCAAGCCUCCAUCGUAGCCUUGCAGGCUCCCGGGCAGACUGUCCGCUGGUGAGAAACCUGGAAUCCUAGCUCAUUCUCUUCAAACUGUCCAAACUCUCCUCUGAACACUACUCCCCAUUUAUUUAGUUCUCUUGGUUGGUGAGCCCUGUUCGCUUAGUGUGGGAAGAAACCUUUCCUGCUCAGAGCUCACUCCCAGCUCAAAUGUCUACCAUUUAUUUCUUAGACGUGCUGGAGAAGUCACACUA